RNAcentral lists this ribosomal RNA (546 nucleotides) under Halalkalibacterium halodurans. RNAcentral's name for it is "bacterial SSU rRNA". It matches the Rfam family "Bacterial small subunit ribosomal RNA", at positions 202 to 743 of the family's 1533-position model. Lineage: Bacteria; Bacillati; Bacillota; Bacilli; Caryophanales; Bacillaceae. The record is from RNAcentral.
GUUUCGGCUAUCACUUACAGAUGGGCCCGCGGCGCAUUAGCUAGUUGGUGGGGUAACGGCUCACCAAGGCGACGAUGCGUAGCCGACCUGAGAGGGUGAUCGGCCACACUGGGACUGAGACACGGCCCAGACUCCUACGGGAGGCAGCAGUAGGGAAUCUUCCGCAAUGGACGAAAGUCUGACGGAGCAACGCCGCGUGAGUGAUGAAGGUUUUCGGAUCGUAAAACUCUGUUGUUAGGGAAGAACAAGUGCCGUUCGAAAGGGCGGCACCUUGACGGUACCUAACGAGAAAGCCACGGCUAACUACGUGCCAGCAGCCGCGGUAAUACGUAGGUGGCAAGCGUUGUCCGGAAUUAUUGGGCGUAAAGCGCGCGCAGGCGGUCUCUUAAGUCUGAUGUGAAAGCCCCCGGCUCAACCGGGGAGGGUCAUUGGAAACUGGGAGACUUGAGUACAGAAGAGGAGAGUGGAAUUCCACGUGUAGCGGUGAAAUGCGUAGAGAUGUGGAGGAACACCAGUGGCGAAGGCGACUCUCUGGUCUGUAACUGA